GUAUAAGUAAUUUUGCUGGUGAAAAACAAUUCAGGUGGUGGGAUCUAAUUUGUUAGAUAAUGGACUAACAUUAUGUUAGGAUUCAUUAGUUAAAUUACAGUAAAAUGAUUGAUUAAAGGCAUAGCUGAGAAUGAGGUGAUACUGAUAUGUGUAUGUUAUAGGUGUUUCUCUAUUUCAGAUUCUUCAGAGUUUCAGAAAACUAUUUUCUCCCAAAAACUUGCACCAGCCAAAACAUUAACUCUACAACACACAUAAUGGAAAGUAAGUAGAAUGUUUCCAUGUGUUCCCAUGGGGGAGAGGGAUAGCUCAGUAGUUUGAGCAUUGGUCUGCUAAACCCAGGGUUGUGAGCCCAAUCCUUAUGGGGGCCAUUUAGGGAUCAGAGAAGAAAAAAAAAAGCAAGGGGGGGAACUGUCAGGUACAGUACUUGGUGCUGCUAGUGAAGGCAGGGGACUGGACUCAAGGUCCCUUCCAGUUCUAUGAGAUAGGUAUAUCCCCCAUAUAUUAUUAAUUAUUCAUUUGUUUUCAGAACCCAUUAUCUUCAAGCAAAUGUGCUUGUGUUUUCUUUUUUGAUUGACAUUGCACUUAAGUAACUGUUUUCUCUUGUAAACAAUUCUCAGGGAAAUCUUUUAACGAGAAAAUUGCAAAUGUUUUGGCAUACCUAAAGAGUAGCACAUAUCCUGAAGGAAUGAAUAAAGCAGGCAGACUGAACCUGCGUCGAUAUGCUGUCAACUUUUCUUUGGAAGAGGGGACAUUGUUCCAUUCAGCAAAAGGAAGAAAGGUUGUCGUUGUGCAUACCGUGAAAGAAGCCCUACAACUCUUUGAAAGGUACCAUGACAGUCCAUUGGGUGGACAUCUAGGAAUAUUCAAAACGAGGAAUGUGCUGACAUCAAAAUACUAUUGGCCAGGGAUGACAAGAGACAUUGCCAAUUGGGUAUGUAAAGUAAUGAAACUAAAUCGUGAAGAAUGCUAUUUACAAUUGAAAUAGAAGUUCAAAAUGUAUAAAAGAAAUAUAAAAGUUUAUUUGGUGUGCAAAUGUGAACUCAGUUCCCUUGCGAUACUAUUUCCAUAACGAAAUGUUCAUGUCAUCAUAUUGUUCCAUCAAAAACAGGUUGCACGAUGUCUUACUUGCCAGAAACAGUGAAAGGAAUUAAAUAUGGAUACCACCUUGAAAAGCAUGAAGGUGAAUUUUGUAAUCAGACACAUUAUUGUUUAUCAUUAUCCAUUGUUAUUUCUGCAAUACGAGGCUUUGAUUUUGAAACGAGUCCAAUGCGUACAAGUGGCACAGCAUAGUGCAGUAAUUACCUCUAAUGCGCCUUUGCACUGGCUGGGGAUAUGUCUUCAGCUUUAUUCUUGUA
RNAcentral lists this long non-coding RNA (1355 nucleotides) under Chrysemys picta bellii (western painted turtle). RNAcentral's name for it is "lncRNA (ENSCPBG00000004465.1)". Lineage: Eukaryota; Metazoa; Chordata; Testudines; Emydidae. The record is from RNAcentral.